UGAAUCCGCGCGGGAGAGUUCCCAGCGGCGCUUUGUGAAGCGCUCGCGGGACGCCGAAGGAGCAAGUCCCUCCCUUGAAUCUCUCAGGCCCCGUUACCGCGCGGGCGAG
RNAcentral lists this non-coding RNA (109 nucleotides) under Streptomyces mangrovisoli. RNAcentral describes it as "Glycine sequence". It matches the Rfam family "Glycine riboswitch aptamer". From Rfam's summary of the family: This family represents the bacterial glycine riboswitch. Glycine riboswitches usually consist of two metabolite-binding aptamers domains with similar structures in tandem. The record is from Rfam by way of RNAcentral. Lineage: Bacteria; Bacillati; Actinomycetota; Actinomycetes; Kitasatosporales; Streptomycetaceae.